GCGCGAAUGGUUUGGCCGAUGUCCGAUUAGCUAGUUGGUGGGGUAAAGGCCUACCAAGGCGAUGAUCGGUAGCUGGUCUGAGAGGAUGAUCAGCCACACUGGGACUGAGACACGGCCCAG
Molecule: ribosomal RNA, 120 nt
Filed under: uncultured bacterium
Lineage: Bacteria
Description: partial 16S ribosomal RNA
Rfam family: Bacterial small subunit ribosomal RNA
Source: RNAcentral